CGCGGCCUAUCAGCUUGUUGGUGGGGCAAUGGCUCACCAAGGCGUCGACGGGUAGCCGGCCUGAGAGGGUGACCGGCCACACUGGGACUGAGACACGGCCCAGACUCCUACGGGAGGCAGCAGUGGGGAAUAUUGCACAAUGGGCGCAAGCCUGAUGCAGCAACGCCGCGUGAGGGACGACGGCCUUCGGGUUGUAAACCUCUUUUAGCAGGGAAGAAGCGAAAGUGACGGUACCUGCAGAAAAAGCGCCGGCUAACUACGUGCCAGCAGCCGCGGUAAUACGUAGGGCGCAAGCGUUAUCCGGAAUUAUUGGGCGUAAAGAGCUCGUAGGCGGUUUGUCGCGUCUGCUGUGAAAUCCGGAGGCUCAACCUCCGGCCUGCAGUGGGUACGGGCAGACUAGAGUGCGGUAGGGGAGAUUGGAAUUCCUGGUGUAGCGGUGGAAUGCGCAGAUAUCAGGAGGAACACCGAUGGCGAAGGCAGAUCUCUGGGCCGUAACUGACGCUGAGGAGCGAAAGGGUGGGGAGCAAACAGGCUUAGAUACCCUGGUAGUCCACCCCGUAAACGUUGGGAACUAGUUGUGGGGUCCAUUCCACGGAUUCCGUGACGCAGCUAACGCAUUAAGUUCCCCGCCUGGGGAGUACGG
RNAcentral lists this ribosomal RNA (643 nucleotides) under uncultured Actinomycetes bacterium. RNAcentral describes it as "bacterial SSU rRNA". It matches the Rfam family "Bacterial small subunit ribosomal RNA", at positions 232 to 885 of the family's 1533-position model. The record is from RNAcentral. Lineage: Bacteria; Bacillati; Actinomycetota; Actinomycetes.